This 119-nucleotide ribosomal RNA is filed under the name Pteropus alecto (black flying fox). The record is from RNAcentral. Lineage: Eukaryota; Metazoa; Chordata; Mammalia; Chiroptera; Pteropodidae.
GUCUAGGGUCAUGCUACCCUGAACAAGCCCAUUCCCGUCUGAUCUUGAAAGCUAAGCAGGGUCGGGCCUGGUUAGUACUUGGUUGGGAAACCACCUGGGGAGACCAGGUUCUGCAGGUG